This 256-nucleotide ribosomal RNA is filed under the name uncultured prokaryote. Its description in RNAcentral is "partial 16S ribosomal RNA". It matches the Rfam family "Bacterial small subunit ribosomal RNA", at positions 524 to 780 of the family's 1533-position model. The record is from RNAcentral.
UACGUAGGUGGCGAGCGUUGUCCGGAUUUACUGGGCGUAAAGGGCGCGCAGGCGGUAUAUCAAGUCAGCUGUCAAAGACUGGGGCUCAACCCUGGUAUGCGGUUGAAACUGAUAUGCUGGAGUGCUGUAGAGGCAAGUGGAAUUCCCAGUGUAGCGGUGAAAUGCGUAGAUAUUGGGAAGAACACCGGUGGCGAAGGCGACUUGCUGGGCAGCAACUGACGCUGAGGCGCGAAAGCCAGGGGAGCAAACGGGAUUA